AUUGAACGCUGGCGGCAGGCUUAACACAUGCAAGUCGAGCGGAGAUGAGGUGCUUGCACCUUAUCUUAGCGGCGGACGGGUGAGUAAUGCUUAGGAAUCUGCCUAUUAGUGGGGGACAACAUUCCGAAAGGAAUGCUAAUACCGCAUACGUCCUACGGGAGAAAGCAGGGGAUCUUCGGGCCUUGCGCUAAUAGAUGAGCCUAAGUCGGAUUAGCUAGUUGGUGGGGUAAAGGCCUACCAAGGCGACGAUCUGUAGCGGGUCUGAGAGGAUGAUCCGCCACACUGGGACUGAGACACGGCCCAGACUCCUACGGGAGGCAGCAGUGGGGAAUAUUGGGCAAUGGGGGGAACCCUGAUCCAGCCAUGCCGCGUGUGUGAAGAAGGCCUUAUGGUUGUAAAGCACUUUAAGCGAGGAGGAGGCUACUGAGACUAAUACUCUUGGAUAGUGGACGUUACUCGCAGAAUAAGCACCGGCUAACUCUGUGCCAGCAGCCGCCGUAA
RNAcentral lists this ribosomal RNA (501 nucleotides) under uncultured bacterium. RNAcentral's name for it is "partial 16S ribosomal RNA". It matches the Rfam family "Bacterial small subunit ribosomal RNA", at positions 30 to 523 of the family's 1533-position model. The record is from RNAcentral.